GUGAGGUCUGGAGCGAAAGAGAAGGCACCGUCGUUUGGAACAAAGAUGGUCACCUCGUCAAGCUCCCGGAGGUGAGCCAGUAGAUCGAUAGACGAGAGGAACUUCGUGAAUCUUUUCGCAGCGGCCAAUUCUCCCACUGCUCUCACAAAAUCUUCAUCUGCAGCCGGAGACCUUGCUCUCGUUCCCGAUGAGAAGAUUGCAAGAACAAGAGCCAGAACGAGGAAAAUCCUCGCGGCAGCCAUCGCCAUCUUUCUUCCAAGCUUUAACAAACAAUAUAAAUUAAGGUGAUGGAAGCUCUUUUAUGGCAUUCAUGGCCCAUUUUAGUUUUUUUUCUGCAGGAGGGGCUAUACAUGGUCGGCCAGAUUAUCAAAAUAAAUCAAGAGGUAUAAUUCAUAUAAACUAUAGAAAUCAAAUUCGGUUUAAACAACUUCUAGCAUGAACUUGGAA
This 447-nucleotide long non-coding RNA is filed under the name Selaginella moellendorffii. RNAcentral describes it as "long non-coding RNA (SMOE_LNC002256)". Lineage: Eukaryota; Viridiplantae; Streptophyta; Lycopodiopsida; Selaginellales; Selaginellaceae. The record is from RNAcentral.